GCUCAGCCUGGGCUCUCUCUGCAGUCAGGAGGGCCCUGAGGUCGCAAAAAGACUUUUCUGGGCCUCUGGAGGCUGCUGGAAUGAGCAGGAGGUGUGAGCAGAAUGAAGAUAGCAGGCAGACCAGACUGAGAGGUGUAUUUGAUCACCAGAAGUUAAUUAUUGAAGAAGGAAGGGAAGAUUCUUUCCAAAAUGUUCUCAAUGCUCCUGGCAAACUGGCAGGAUUUUGGGGAGUUUCCCCAAGGAAAAUGGUGCCAAAGCCAUGCCAGCUCUGCACAAACAAAUAUCUCCACCUGAUGAUGACAUCCAUGGACCCAAAGAUGCAUUACUCCUCAGGAUGUUUUCCCUCUCCACCUCAGGAAAUCAGCAGCUCCCCAGGCAGAUUGGAAGGUCUAAAAUAUAAAAUAUCCCUGUCAGAGCCAGGAUCCCUGUUCCCAGCCAGGAUCCCUGUUCCAGCAGAGCCAGGAUCCCUGUUCCA
Molecule: long non-coding RNA, 475 nt
Organism: Passer domesticus (house sparrow)
Lineage: Eukaryota; Metazoa; Chordata; Aves; Passeriformes; Passeridae
Exons: 5
Source: RefSeq, a predicted model, not a curated record